This 244-nucleotide ribosomal RNA is filed under the name uncultured microorganism. RNAcentral describes it as "partial 16S ribosomal RNA". It matches the Rfam family "Bacterial small subunit ribosomal RNA", at positions 9 to 250 of the family's 1533-position model. The record is from RNAcentral.
GAGUUUGAUCGUGGCUCAGAUUGAACGCUGGCGGCAUGCCUUACACAUGCAAGUCGAACGGCAGCAUGAUCUAGCUUGCUAGAUUGAUGGCGAGUGGCGAACGGGUGAGUAAUACAUCGGAACGUGCCCUGUAGUGGGGAUAACUAGUCGAAAGAUUAGCUAAUACCGCAUACGACCUGAGGGUGAAAGUGGGGGACCGCAAGGCCUCAUGCUAUAGGAGCGGCCGAUGUCUGAUUAGCUAGUU